RNAcentral lists this ribosomal RNA (429 nucleotides) under Gemmatimonadota bacterium. Its description in RNAcentral is "Gemmatimonadetes bacterium partial 16S ribosomal RNA". It matches the Rfam family "Bacterial small subunit ribosomal RNA", at positions 355 to 776 of the family's 1533-position model. Lineage: Bacteria; Pseudomonadati; Gemmatimonadota. The record is from RNAcentral.
UAGGGAAUCUUCGGCAAUGGACGAAAGCCUGACCGAGCAACGCCGCGUGAGUGAAGAAGGUUUUCGGAUCGUAAAACUCUGUUGUUAGGGAAGAACAAGGACGCUAGAAAUGGAACGUCCCCUGACGGUAACUAAGCAGAAAGCCACGGCUAACUACGUGCCAGCAGCCGCGGUAAUACGGAGGUGGCAAGCGUUGUCCGGAAUGAUUGGGCGUAAAGCGAGCGUAGGCGGCAUCUUAAGUCUGAUGUGAAAGACCCCGGCUCAACCGGGGAGGGUCAGUGGAAACUAGGAGGCUAGAGUGCAGAAGAGGAGAGUGGAAUUCCAUGUGUAGCGGUGAAAUGCGUAGAUAUAUGGAGGAACACCAGUGGCGAAGGCGGCCCUCUGGUCUGUAACUGACGCUGAGGCUCGAAAGCGUGGGGAGCAAACAGG